AAGACCUUGCGCUUUUGGAGCGGCCGAUGCCUGAUUAGCUUGUUGGUAAGGUAAAAGCUUACCAAGGCUUCGAUCAGUAGCUGGUCUGAGAGGACGACCAGCCACACUGGGACUGAGACACGGCCCAGACUCCUACGGGAGGCAGCAGUGGGGAAUUUUGGACAAUGGGGGCAACCCUGAUCCAGCCAUGCCGCGUGAGUGAAGAAGGCCUUCGGGUUGUAAAGCUCUUUCAGCCGGAACGAAACGGUUACGGUUAAUACCCGUGACUACUGACGGUACCGGAAGAAGAAGCACCGGCUAACUACGUGCCAGCAGCCGCGGUAAUACGUAGGGUGCGAGCGUUAAUCGGAAUUACUGGGCGUAAAGCGUGCGCAGGUGGUUUUGUAAGUCAGAUGUGAAAGCCCCGGGCUCAACCUGGGAAACU
This 424-nucleotide ribosomal RNA is filed under the name uncultured bacterium. RNAcentral's name for it is "bacterial SSU rRNA". It matches the Rfam family "Bacterial small subunit ribosomal RNA", at positions 207 to 623 of the family's 1533-position model. The record is from RNAcentral.